Molecule: ribosomal RNA, 671 nt
Filed under: uncultured Bacteroidales bacterium
Lineage: Bacteria; Pseudomonadati; Bacteroidota; Bacteroidia; Bacteroidales
Description: bacterial SSU rRNA
Rfam family: Bacterial small subunit ribosomal RNA
Source: RNAcentral
CAGCAUGGUCUUAGCUUGCUAAGGCCGAUGGCGACCGGCGCACGGGUGAGUAACACGUAUCCAACCUGCCGUCUACUCUUGGACAGCCUUCUGAAAGGAAGAUUAAUACAAGAUGGCAUCAUGAGUCCGCAUGUUCACAUGAUUAAAGGUAUUCCGGUAGACGAUGGGGAUGCGUUCCAUUAGAUAGUAGGCGGGGUAACGGCCCACCUAGUCUUCGAUGGAUAGGGGUUCUGAGAGGAAGGUCCCCCACAUUGGAACUGAGACACGGUCCAAACUCCUACGGGAGGCAGCAGUGAGGAAUAUUGGUCAAUGGGCGAGAGCCUGAACCAGCCAAGUAGCGUGAAGGACGACUGCCCUAUGGGUUGUAAACUUCUUUUAUAAAGGAAUAAAGUCGGGUAUGCAUACCCGUUUGCAUGUACUUUAUGAAUAAGGAUCGGCUAACUCCGUGCCAGCAGCCGCGGUAAUACGGAGGAUCCGAGCGUUAUCCGGAUUUAUUGGGUUUAAAGGGAGCGUAGAUGGAUGUUUAAGUCAGUUGUGAAAGUUUGCGGCUCAACCGUAAAAUUGCAGUUGAUACUGGAUAUCUUGAGUGCAGUUGAGGCAGGCGGAAUUCGUGGUGUAGCGGUGAAAUGCUUAGAUAUCACGAAGAACUCCGAUUGCGAAGGCAGCCUGCU